AUGACGCGUUGAUCCCUGGUUGGCCCGUCAAUGGAUGAGACGAGGGAGGGCGUCUGCCUCGCCUCUUCGUCCUCCCAGUCGCCCCCACCAUCCCCGCACUCACCGCUGCCGCCACCCUUCACCCCCCGUGGUCCGCCUCCUCCCCUCCCCUCCCCUCCUGUCGCCCGAAUCACAUGCCUGCUGGUCGGGCCGCGGUGGCCGGAUUCGAAGACGGCCGGGCGGCGAUCACUCCCGUGAGGCCCGGCGGCGAGCAGCGCGCGCCGAGGGGUGGAAGGGCGCUCUGGAUCCGGCGCGAUGGUGGCCAUGGCCGAGCUCGAGCCCAGACAUGUGGGUGCGUUAGUGAGCGCGGCGGCGGUCGGGGCCGAGCUCUGAGCACGGCGGCGGCCAUGGCCUAACUACCAGCACGCCGUCGACGGCCAACCGGGCCGCCGCACGCAGGAAGGAAGAGCAGCAGUAGCCGGGACGAGGGCGGGGAUGGAGAACGCGGCGUCCAUCUCGCGGAGCCUCUGGCCAUCCCUCACCCUGAUGCCUCCGUCCUUCCUCCUCCCCAUCGGGGCCAGGCAGAGGAGGAGGAGCGCCGGCCACGGGCACGACGAGGAGGCGGCCGGCAUCACCGUGCGCCGCCUGGCCAAGGUCUUCUCCUGCUGCUCUGGGUCACGCGCCGCCUCUGCUGCUGACAGGAGGGGGCCGCGGCAGCCGCCAUGCAUCCCGAUGACCAGGAGCUCUCCUGCGUGGUUCCCUCGAUGGAGGGAUGCUUCCUCCGUCCACUGCUUGCUCUGUGCUGACGCCAUCAGUAGCGGCGGCGGUUGGGCUGAUGCGGACUCUGCGCCACCACCGAAGGCUUCGCCACGGACCGCAUCAUCUCCGACCAUGGCGAAAAGGCGCCCAGCGUCGGCUACAGCGGCACACUCUUCGGCCCUGACCUAGGUGCAUGAGCUCACCGCCGUCUGCCUCGAGGCCGUGUUUCCCUCUCCCUCGAGUUCACCGCGUGUGUGACGGAUUCCCUUAGCCGUGUUGCAGUCACCGGGAUGCUCAUCGCGCUCGUUGGAUUCGGGCUCUACAAGUUUCGAUUCCCAAGUGUCGUGAAAUGUAUCAAAAUCGGUCUUCUAGAGAUCAUACUGCUGGUAGCUCUUUCCCAGUACAUACCUCAUCUAGUGCCUUUGCUGGGCACUGCCUUUGAGGGGUUCGCCAUCAUAAUGUCUGUCGCUGUCGUGUGGCUUUACGCGUUCUUCCUGACGGUUGGCGGGGCGUAUAGGAAUGCUGCUCCACCUGACCAUCCCAAUACCGCAGGAGAUUAGGAUAAAUUGUUUGAUUCUCAGAUCUACCUGACCAUCCCAAUUAUUUGCAGUGCUUGAGUUUUAUGAAAACUUUUCUUUGCAGUGUGUAUGUGUUGCGAGCAGUGAUCGGUACAGCCAAUGCAUCGCUACUGGAGUACUGGCCCUUUUGGUGUGAGUAUGGCUGGAUUAUUUGCUUCUUUCAUGAUGAAGAAAUGGCCAUAGCCAUGGGAGUUUCCUCUUGGCGAUGAUAGCCGGUUGGUGUUGUACGGCUUGGUUGAGCUCAAGGUUAACGAAGACGGCAAUUGUCAGGUUUCUCCUUGUCAUUGAUAGCAUCGGUUAACAUAGGGGCAGCGGUCGCGGUCGCCCGAGGAGCACAGCCACACAGGGCUGGUCCUGCCGCCGCCAAAGAAGAGUGGAGGAGGUCGAUACAGGGUCGAGGAGGGGCACGGGCGAGGUUCAUGCCGCACGGGGGCACGCGGCUCCAGCGAGAGAAGGCUUCUCCUGUUCCCGUGCCGCCAGGCACCCCUCACUGCCGCCCUACUUGUCCUCCGAUAUUCAAGCAGGUCGUUGGUGCUCUGUUGGUUGAUGGAGUUUGCUUAUCUGCCGGCAGACCGCACCGGAGGCCGCCGCCAUAUAGGGGCUGAUGAGGACAUCGUGAUGAGGUUGCCGCUUUGGGCAUAGCAGAGGGGAUCCGGCCGGCACGUUGCGCCUCCCAUAAACAUGCCUAAUUUUAUAUUCAGAGGAAUGUAUCCAUGAACUUGGAAACCUGUGAACUCUUUGAUACGCCUUUUAUGUGUUGCUUUUGGUCUUGAUAGAGGGAGAUACAUUGACAGGAAGUUCUCACUUGCUAGAAUUGUUUCUAUCAGGGGCAGAAUUAUUGUUGAAACAUGCACUAUGUGAAGAUGAAUAGGAACCUUUCAUAAUUAUUCCCAAACAUGCCACUGUGUCAUCAUUGGCCAGUGCAGGACCUCUUAGAUUAUACAAGUCCCUAUUUGUUUGGAUUCAUGAACCAUGGGACUUGACUUUCAUUCGAUGCCACUAGCUCCUGUGAUGCACCGUGUAAACUACCGUGUGAUCUCCCUCUUCUUUUGUGAAUGCGUCCCCUUUGUCACAUCUAUCCAUCCUUUUGUACUUGAUAUGUACCGUGUAUGAACAAUUGUAUCCUUUAAUUUACCCUGUAUAUGAACAUUGCAUCCUCAAAUGUGUUGUGUU
Triticum dicoccoides is the source of this 2489-nucleotide long non-coding RNA. RefSeq lists it as uncharacterized. The transcript is spliced from 10 exons. The record is from RefSeq and is a predicted model, not a curated record. NCBI's taxonomy places the organism in Eukaryota, Viridiplantae, Streptophyta, Magnoliopsida, Poales, Poaceae.